Molecule: non-coding RNA, 73 nt
Organism: Fusarium proliferatum ET1
Lineage: Eukaryota; Fungi; Ascomycota; Sordariomycetes; Hypocreales; Nectriaceae
Source: the annotation of a RefSeq genome assembly
UGCUGGGUGGUGUAGUGGUAACAUCUCCUCCACGAUGAGGAGGGUGCCGCAGGUUCGAAUCCUGCCCCGGCAA